CUGGGAGUUGGAGCUUCUUUGCCGUUCCCGGCGGUUGGCGCUGGUCCGGCUGCGGCCCCCACAAGUACGUGUAAGCUCCCGGCUUACAUUCCAUCCCAUCGCAUCGCCAGCCAAGUACGCAAUCGGAUCACCGUCGUCGGUUUUCAAUGAACGAUGAGCUUCUGUCAAAAAAAAAAAAUAAUGUGCAUUGUAUUCAUGUGUCUGCUUAAAAUAUCCUUUUAGAAUCUCCUGGAUUGCUUUCCAUAGCCACCGGAAGGCAAGUGCCAAAUUCCGGUUGAUUCCGGGCCAAACCGGGAUGGUCGGCCUGGGCCAAAAUGAAAUUCAGCAACCGGCGCGGUCUUCACUCCGUCGGAGUUGUGGGAGUAGCUGAGUGGCUCACAGAGAUCGAGCACGGACACGAUGGGUCGAAUGGCCUCCUCCUGCGCUGUAAUCAUCGUGUGAUUCUAAUCAUCGUAACCCUCCUCUUCCCAGUGCGUUCAUUCUCGCUGGAUCGUGAUUCCAGGGGCCAAGAAGUCCUCCAGUAGUUCAUCUCAGUUGGCCUUCUUCACACGGGACCCCAGAGAGCUGUUCGAUCAUGCGGCCUGCACAACAACAAGUUUUCUCAUGUGAUUUGUGUUGGCCCGAGUUGAGUGCAAUGCCUGACCUGGCGGCUGCGACGAAGGGCGGUGUGUCCCGUGAGGCGUCGAAACAGUCGCUGAUUAAAGUCAGCAAGAAGCCGCCUAAGAAGCGGAGAAAAUCUCGCAAGCAGAGCUAUACCAUUUACGUGUACAGGGCGCUGACCCAGGUCCACCCUUCCACCAGGAUCUCGUCCAAGGCCAUGAGUGUUAUGAAUUCCUUCGUUGUCGACAUUUUCGAGCGCAUCGCCUCCGAGGCGUCGCACCUCAUUCACUACGACAAGCGCCGCACCAUCUCGGCCCGGGGGAUCCAGAGCGCCGUCCGCCUCAUGCUGCCGGGGGAAUUGGCCAAACACGCCGUCUCCGAAGGCACCAAAGCGGUCACCAAGUAUACCAACUCCAUUUAGGUCGACAAUUCUGAAGAUUAUAUAAAAAAAAAACAAGUUUUCUCAUGUGACAUCUAAACUGCUCAUUUUGCAGCCAGGCCGGCUGAGUGGGAAUUAAAUGAGCGAUUACUUCCUUGCCUUCUCCACCAGCUCAGGAUCGCUGAAAUAAAUUAUAACACCUUUCGUGACAGCUAUAGCGCAGUGGGUAGAACUCUCGCCUUUGAGUCACAGUGCUGAGAGUUCAAGUCCCAUUCCAGAGCUUGAGCACAAAAGUCAAGGCGCACACUCCAAUGCUGUACUGAGGGAGUGCUACCCUCUUGGGGGUGCUGUGUUUCAGAUGAGAUGUUGAACCAAAGGAGAGCAGAGGAGCUAUCCUUGGCAUUUUGGUCAAUAGUUAUCCUUCAGUCAACAUGAGUAAAAGAAUCUGGUCAUUAUCACAAUUAUUUGUGGGAGCUUUCAAGUGGAAUGCCAUUGCUUCUGGGGCUUUCCCACUGGCAAGAUGGUCAAUGGCCUUGUACAAUAAUGGGCUCACUGUCCAGUUCCUUUAUGACAGGAAAGUCUGGAAUGGCAGUGAGAUCCUCACCUCUGACAACAUUCUCCGUUGUGAAGAAUUUGAGGGAGCGUUCCACUCACCUUUCUAUGUGCUUGCUAGGUUCAGAGUAGAUCAUCCAUAUCUUUGUCUUCAAGGAGGGGAUGAUUUGGUUGCUGCAGGUCUGUUGCUUUCUUGAUUUCUUCUUAAAUCCUUGUAGCAUCCCAGGAUUCAAAAUCAUUGUAUGCAUUUUUUUACAUUCGUUCACGGGAUAUGACAGUCACUGGCUAGGCCAACAUUUAUUGUCUAUCACUCAUUGCCCUUGAGAAGCUGUUGGUGAGCUGCCUUCUUGAAUCACUGAAGUCCAUGUGGGGUAGGUACAACAACAGUGCUGUUAGGGAAUAAGCUCCAGGAUUUUGACCCAGCGACACCUUCAAGUUGACCAGGACUGGAGUCAAUGCAUGGGAAGUUCUCACUGCUGAUAAGAGGGCCUGGCGACAAGCAGCCAGGAAGGGCAUGGAAAAAGUAGAGGGCAAAAGAAAUGACCAGAUUGUGGAAAAGAAGGCCUUCCUUGAAGGAAGAAUCUGCCUCUACAGCCACAGAUGACGUUCAACGCUGAAAUGACAUACACCGAGGAUGCUGCCUGACUGGAGUGCUUCCAGCAUUUUCUGUUUUUGUCAAGAUCAAUAAAGAGAUCUCAUGAUGUUGAAA
This is a long non-coding RNA of Carcharodon carcharias (great white shark), 2240 nucleotides long. RefSeq lists it as uncharacterized. NCBI's taxonomy places the organism in Eukaryota, Metazoa, Chordata, Chondrichthyes, Lamniformes, Lamnidae. The record is from RefSeq and is a predicted model, not a curated record. The transcript is spliced from 2 exons.